Long non-coding RNA from Felis catus (domestic cat), 1442 nucleotides. RefSeq lists it as uncharacterized. The transcript has 3 exons. Lineage: Eukaryota; Metazoa; Chordata; Mammalia; Carnivora; Felidae. The record is from RefSeq and is a predicted model, not a curated record.
UCUCUUCUACUUGAAACACCAGUUGCCUCUGUCAGGGGCCUCCCUGUGCAGGACACUGCUGUUGCCUCACAGACAAAGGCAUAAAGUCAGUGAAAACCAAUGCCAGCUGUUUGCCUAUUGCUAGAGAAAGGGGUCAUCUUUCCUGACUUUUAUCGCCCUCUACCCCCCACAAAGACUUUUCAUCCCCCUAACUUCUUUAGAGUUCCUAGGGCUGGGCAUGCAGGGCUGUCCCCAAAGGGCUUUCAGCCCUACCGUAACAAUCUAGGAGCCAAAUUGGCUUCAUCUUCCCUCCUUGAAACAGAAACCAUAAGGUCCAACCCUGAAAUAUAAAGGAAAACCCUGCAUGCAAUUUCAUCUCUCAAAUUCCUGUAGUGGUUUUCAACAUAUGCUUCACAAGGAAUGGUCUGGGGUGGUAGGUGGGGGAGAAUGGACUGUCUGUCCCUAGAACCUAAAAUAGUUGUACCCUGUGCGUAUUCUACCAAUCAGCAAGUGCUUCUCCUGCUACCAUCAUCCGCUACUCUUCUAUAAAUAAAGAGUCUGAUACAUUAAAUUCCCGAGGGUCAAUCAAAUGUUUAUUUGCUCAAUAAAUAAUCAAAUGUUUAUUUAUGGCCCCUUAUAUUUUCUCAGAAAUUUCAGGAGAGCAUGGAGGAAAUAUUAAAGUAAUUCUUUUUCUUUCGCUAUCCCUGACUCCCACCCUCAGGUUAGGCUCCACCAACUGAGCAACAGAUUGAAGAGAAAAUACUGUGGUUUGGGUUUUUUUUUUUUUUUUUCAUUAUGAAGAUAAAGAAAUCAUUACCAAGUUCUGGAAUCUGGGAAGCCCAAGAUAAAGGUGCCAGCAGAUUUGAUGUCUGAUGAAAGCCCAGUUUCUCAUUCAUAGAUGGCCAUCUUCCUGCUGUGUCCUCACAAGGUGGAAGAGGUUGGAAAGCUGGGGAGAUGGCAGAGUAAGAGGACCCUAAGCUCACCUCAUCCCACAGACACAACUAGAUAGCACUCACAUCAGCGUAAAUAACACAGAAAAUGGGCCGAAGACUGGAAGAACAGACUUUGCAACUAAAGGUAGGGAAGAGCCAUACUGAAGAAGGUAAGAAGAGUGAAGGUGUGGUUUGGGAGUGAAAGAAACCAUGGCCAUUUAUGGCUGGACAGAGCUGGGUCUCAGAGAAGGGCAAGAAACAGACUGUCAUGCUGGGGAGCCUGCACAAGGAAGAUGAAUCCCCAUAACAUUUGGCCAAACUUAGCAAGUUCUUACGACUAACAGAACUUAAAUACUGGAAUUUUAAAAAUUACUGAGCUUGGGGGGAGCCUGGAGGGUGUUAGGAAACUGAGUCUCCACCUGCGUGGAGACAGCACCAGAGCCAGUGAAAAUACAGCAUAGAAGGAACAGUUUGAAAAACACCUGUGGCAGGGGUGCCUGGGUGGCUUAGUCAGUUAAGCAUCCGACUUCA